UACGUAGGGGGCAAGCGUUGUCCGGAUUUAUUGGGCGUAAAGAGCUCGUAGGCGGUUCCGUAAGUCGUGAAGUCAAAUCUCUGGGCUCAGCCCAGAAUCGCUUCCGAUACUGCGGUGACUGGAGUCCGGUAGGGGAGUGUGGAAUUCCUGGUGUAGCGGUGAAAUGCGCAGAUAUCAGGAGGAACACCAACAGCGAAGGCAGCACUCUGGGCCGGUACUGACGCUGAGGAGCGAAAGCAUGGGGAGCGAACAGG
This 254-nucleotide ribosomal RNA is filed under the name uncultured bacterium. Its description in RNAcentral is "partial 16S ribosomal RNA". It matches the Rfam family "Bacterial small subunit ribosomal RNA", at positions 524 to 776 of the family's 1533-position model. The record is from RNAcentral.